RNAcentral lists this long non-coding RNA (543 nucleotides) under Androctonus crassicauda. The record is from RNAcentral. Lineage: Eukaryota; Metazoa; Arthropoda; Arachnida; Scorpiones; Buthidae.
AGACUUUUAAAAUUUUAAUUGCGGAUAGAGAUUUGGCGAUCUGUAUGAAUAACCAUGAGACUCACUGUAUAUCAAUAAUCUGAAAUAUAAUUCUUAGAUAAUAUCGUUAAGGAUGUUCUACAAGCCAGUAUUAAACCGAAACUUGGAUUCAUCACGAUAAAAGAAAUGACGUUCUAUAUAGUUUGUACAAGCAGUACGGAACAUACUAUAAUGGUGUAACCAUAGAAAAAUAAUUUAUGUUCAAAGUUAAAUAUAUCCUGUGUGGGCAUCGAGUGAGUACGGGAUGCAAAAAGCGAGGUUAUUCGUGAAAAAUGUCCAAAUCACAUCUUUCAAAAUCUUUGUUCGGUUUGUUACGUUCAUUCGUAUAAAAAAGCCUUGUGUAUCAAAAAUGAAGAAUAAAAGAUGUUUGGCUAAUUUUGUCAUUUCUUCUUUGCAAUGUACACUCUAUUCCGAAAAGGUUUUCACUUACUGCGGUAACAGUCCGGUAACCUAUCAAAGAUGGAUUGUAAUUUCUGGAAUUCUAUGCGCUGAGCAUUGAAUUUU